RNAcentral lists this ribosomal RNA (207 nucleotides) under uncultured delta proteobacterium. Its description in RNAcentral is "partial 16S ribosomal RNA". It matches the Rfam family "Bacterial small subunit ribosomal RNA", at positions 568 to 774 of the family's 1533-position model. Lineage: Bacteria; Deltaproteobacteria. The record is from RNAcentral.
CGUGUAGGCGGCCGGCCAAGUCGGAUGUGAAAGCCCUCGGCUUAACCGAGGAAGUGCGUUCGAUACUAGCUGGCUUGAGUACCGGAGAGGGUGGUGGAAUUCCCGGUGUAGAGGUGAAAUUCGUAGAUAUCGGGAGGAACACCAGCGGCGAAGGCGACCACCUGGACGGAUACUGACGCUGAGACGCGAAAGCGUGGGGAGCAAACA